AUAAUUAUUGGCCAUAUGUUAUGUGAGUUUAGAUGAUUUAUUCUUUGCAUUCGAAAGAAGGGGAAUAUAUUCGAUAUAAUAUAAAUUAACAUAGGGUUCGAUAAGGGAUAGAAAUAUACCCCUAUACUUUGUGCAAUUCAUAAGGUGUUCAUAAAAAUUCAUGCAUUCUUGUAUAUUUGCAUCAUCCAUAGAAAUAUAGGCUGGUAGUGUGCAAGAGUAG
Molecule: long non-coding RNA, 220 nt
Filed under: Olea europaea (common olive)
Lineage: Eukaryota; Viridiplantae; Streptophyta; Magnoliopsida; Lamiales; Oleaceae
Description: long non-coding RNA (OEUR_LNC006740)
Source: RNAcentral